UCUUUCUUGAUUCGGUGGGUGGUGGUGAUGGCCGUUCUUAGUUGGUGGAGCGAUUUGUCUGGUUAAUUCCGAUAACGAACGAAGACUCUAGCCUGCUAAAUAGGCGAUUUCCGGUACCCAAAAUAGUGUUACCGGCGAUUCAAUUUCUUCUUAGAGGGACAGGCGGCUU
RNAcentral lists this ribosomal RNA (169 nucleotides) under Jacobsoniella bakeri. Its description in RNAcentral is "partial small subunit ribosomal RNA". It matches the Rfam family "Eukaryotic small subunit ribosomal RNA", at positions 1256 to 1429 of the family's 1831-position model. The record is from RNAcentral. Lineage: Eukaryota; Metazoa; Arthropoda; Insecta; Hemiptera; Cercopidae.